AUUGAACGCUGGCGGCAGGCCUAACACAUGCAAGUCGAGCGGAUGAAGGGAGCUUGCUCCUGGAUUCAGCGGCGGACGGGUGAGUAAUGCCUAGGAAUCUGCCUGGUAGUGGGGGAUAACGUCCGGAAACGGGCGCUAAUACCGCAUACGUCCUGAGGGAGAAAGUGGGGGAUCUUCGGACCUCACGCUAUCAGAUGAGCCUAGGUCGGAUUAGCUAGUUGGUGGGGUAAAGGCCUACCAAGGCGACGAUCCGUAACUGGUCUGAGAGGAUGAUCAGUCACACUGGAACUGAGACACGGUCCAGACUCCUACGGGAGGCAGCAGUGGGGAAUAUUGGACAAUGGGCGAAAGCCUGAUCCAGCCAUGCCGCGUGUGAAGAAGGUCUUCGGAUUGUAAAGCACUUUAAGUUGGGAGGAGGGGCAGUAAGUUAAUACCUUGCUGUUUUGACGUUACCAACAGAAUAAGCACCGGCUAACUUCGUG
This 482-nucleotide ribosomal RNA is filed under the name uncultured bacterium. RNAcentral describes it as "partial 16S ribosomal RNA". It matches the Rfam family "Bacterial small subunit ribosomal RNA", at positions 30 to 507 of the family's 1533-position model. The record is from RNAcentral.